Molecule: long non-coding RNA, 2037 nt
Organism: Acinonyx jubatus (cheetah)
Lineage: Eukaryota; Metazoa; Chordata; Mammalia; Carnivora; Felidae
Exons: 3
Source: RefSeq, a predicted model, not a curated record
ACCGGGUGCCGGGCAAGGAGGCGUCCCUGCCUUGAGAGGCUCCGUCUUGCCCCCUCACGGUCCCCCUCUCUCCGCCACAGGUCUGAUUUCGGCAGAGCUCUCGAGGCGACAGCACGGGCGGGGCCAGGCCCGGGCCCCGUGUCCAUGUCGCACCCCCCCCCCCCAGCACCGUGCAGAAGCGGGAACCGGGAAGGGACGCAUUAACCGGUGCGACCCCACAAUUAAAGCUGCGGCUGUUUACCACGGUGAGAACAGCUCUGCCUGCCAACGCCAGCCGCCAUCACAUCUCCCUACUGCCGGCUCCCCCCAAGUGUUUAUUUAAGCCAACACAUUGCUCUGCUAAUUGGAUAACAUUCCACGUGAAAAUAGACCUUUUAAAACAACAGCAGCGGCGGCAAAUAAAAACAGCCACAACUGCAAAAGCUGGCCUUCCUUUCCUCCUGCAGGACCAGCCUGCUCUGCGCAAAGCGGGAGGUGGGGGCAGCUGCUAAACAGAAGCCCGGUGGCUACCGGUGGCCUCUCUGGGGCCAGGCUGCUUCGGGCUCGGGAGGGCUGGACUCGUGUGCUCAUGGGCCCAAUGCCGGGGCGCUCACUCUUCUGGGCGCGCCCCCAAGAGAUGUUCCGGCCCCUCCCCCUGAAAUGGCUCUAAUUGAGUCCCGGGAGGACAAGACGUGACAAACGCAAACGCCCAGCAGCCAAAGACAGGCUUCUAGAAGUUGACGGUUUUGAUCACCGCCAAGAUGCUGCCCUUCCGGAAACAUCAGGGCCCAGAGAGACACGGGGGCACCUGAGACAGGGAGACAGCCGUGCACAUAAGUGCAGACCCAGGCCACCCGGGGAAGACCACUGCAUUUGGGAUGGCUUGCGUCCUUGACUUCCACUCUUCCCUCAUCAGCCUCUGUCCUGCCCCCCUCCACCUCGAGGGAGUAGGUUCUUUGGAAGACAUCGCCUCACCACCCCGAGUUUUAGGGAACACGGGCACUUUCAGAGGGCCUAGGACUCCGAGGGCUGACAAACGACCUAGGAAGGGGGAACGUGCCAGCUCACCGAGGCCGUGAUGAGGGUAGACGGGUCUCCUCCAGCUUAGCGCCUUGGCCCCGGGGGCCAGCGCCAGGCUUUGCGGGGAUCGGUCCACGGGGCUCUGCAGUGGCUGCACAGACAGAGCUCGGCGGCCGUGCGGAGACCGGGAGGGACUCAUGCAAAUCUCCUGCCCGAUUCCCGGGGCCGCUGCAGGAUGGGAUGAGACAGUGCGCGUGUGGUGUAUGUACCACGUAAAAGCCGGUGCGGUCGGUCGCAGGGGCCUCUGACUAUUGUCAUCAGUUGCCUGGUUACCCUGAGCUCUGCCACGACAGCCUCUGCGGAGCCUCGUGCUAGGAUUCUCUUCACGGUUUGGGGGUGUGCGCUUGCCCCAGAGGGUCCUGACGGAUGACAAAGUCCCUGAUGAUGCACGGGCGGGGUGGAAGGCAGUGUCGUGGAGGAAGGUCGGAGGACUCAGGGUGCAGGGUGCAGGGACGGCGCAGAUGGGCAGGCUGCCGAGGGGCUGCCUCGAGGGGCGGACCGGGGCUAAUUCUCACCUCGGCCAGCUGGUGAAGGGGGCUGGCUGAUGCCGGGGAAGGAGCACGGUCCUGGGAGCCAACGUAUCUGGGUCCCGGCCCCCGGCCAGACACUAUCAGUUUCUCCACUGCUUCCCAGACUCAACACGGAACGCCCAGCUAUCCGUUACCCUCUCCCUUCUCCCUUCUCCCCUGGUACCAACCCCCCCAUUUCACCCUCCCCUCCCCUCCUCCUUUCCUCCCAUCUGAGCACGGCCCGGGGCCCCCAGGAGAGGCUCUGAUGCCAGGUUCCCGCGUGGCCGAUGCCAAGAGUGACGCCUUCCAUCCCCACGGAGGGUGUCCUGCCGGGCACUGGGAGUGAACCCCCUCGCGAGGGGUGCAGGUGGGUCAGGCAGGGAUCAGUCAAGCUCCGGAAAGGCUUCUGAAGGAGGAGGACUCCUCCUUCCCCGAGUGCUUCCGAAAGAGGACGGCCACUUAGGGGGAG